AAGAUUGGCCACAGUUGUUACCUCAGGUGCCAAUCUUAAAAAAAAAAAAAAAAAAAGAAAGAAAAAGAAAAAAGCUGAACAAACUGAAAAUCAACAACUCCUUAAAUCCAUCAGAGAACUGAAGUCACAGGGCACAUCAUCACUCCGAUAACGGAAGGCAGGAAAAUACAGAGAAUCACAGCUUACCAGGGGCAGAACACACUGCUGGAGCCAGCAACUAGUAAAAACACCUGAAGGGCAGUUGGCUAAUUGUUGGCCUCAGCAUGCACUAGCUUGAGAAAGGAAACUCCUGGGGCCCCAGCUAAGGAAGGGAGCCUCCCUCCAGAUUUGUGUGUUUUACUCCAGGAGCCUCAUCAGGUUCUCAGGGUGAAGAUAAGAGGAAAAUCUCCUUCUGCUUCUUAAAUAAGACACAAAAAGUAUAACUAUAAAAGAAUGGAUUAAUAAACUGGAUUUCUUUACAAUUAGGAUUUUAUGUUUAUUAUAAGACCAUUGACCUGUGGGACUUUUGGCUACAGUGACAUGAAUCCUCCUUAUGGCGUGAAUCUUCUUUACAAAAGCAUAUAGUAGAUAGAAUAUACUAAAUUGCCCCCCCAAAAUUCUGGGCUCUGGAAGUCAAACAAAUCUAAAAUUAGUUUGUAGUGGUCACUGUCUAACUGAAUAAAUUUACUAAAUAUCUUUAAACCAUAUGCUUACAAUGGAUGAAGUAAACGGCAUGUAAAUUGUACCUCAAGAAAAUUUUUUUUUAAAGAAGUAAUAAGAGAGCAAAAAGGGAAGUUAUAGUCUGGGAGAAGAUGUUUGCAAUACAUGUAUAAGAUAAAGACUCAUAUUCAGAAUAUAUAAAGAACUUCUAUAAAUAAAAAAGAUGUGAACUUACUAUAAGCAAAAGACAAGGAUGCCUAAAGAAUGAGGAUAUCCAAAUAGCCAAAAGCACAUGAAAAAUGGUUAUCAUUAAUUUUCAGAAAGCUACAAAUUAGAACCACAAUGAGAUACUGAUACCACUACACACACACAAGAAUGGCUAAAAUGAAAACAAAUAAGCAAAAACCUUAACGACCAGAUUUGGGCAAGAAGGUGGAGUAACUGAAACUCUCAUUGAUAUUGACACAACCACUUUGUAAAACUGAUUUGCAAGAUCUACCAAAGCUAAGAAUAGACUUACUCUACAAUCCAUCAGUUCUAUUCUAGUAAUAGACACAAUAUAAAUAUGCAAAUAUGUACACCAAAAUACAUGUACAGGAAUGUUCAUAACAAUGUUAUUCAUAAUAGCUCUGAACUGGUAAUAACAUCAUCACUAAGAGAAAGAGUAAAUUCUUGUAUAUUCUUACAACAAAGUACUAUAAAACAGUGAAAAAGGGAGGACUACUUUCCCCCACAACAAUAUGGAGAAAUCAUGUGGACAUAAUUUCAAAUGAAUUAAUACAGAUACAAUUUAGUAUAUACUGUAUGAUUUCAUUUAUAUAAAGUUCAAAAGGUAAACUAACAUCCAAUGGAAAAAGUAUGUCUAGGGAUGGGUAUGAGGAAAGAGUCUGGAAUUUAUGUAAUGUUCUAUGUAUCUUGAACUGAACAUUUAAGAUGUAUGUACUUUGAAAUACUUAUGUCAUAUUUUAAUAAAAACUAAGGCAAAAAUAUACACAAUGAGAAUGACAAAAAGAUACACUACAGAAAAGCAAAAAGAAGAAAAUAAAACCAUCCAUAAUCCACCCAACAAUCACUGUUACCAUUUUUCUUUAUAAUCAUUCAUGCUUAAAAAAUCUUUUAACCUCGGGAAUAUAAUCCAUCUGACAUAGUCUUUGAAUGAGAUCUGCCUCUUCCAAAGUGUUAUCUUUUUCAUCUCAUGUACCUGUAGCUCACAGGUUCACUCAAUUUACCUUCCAAUUUUCAGAUUCCCAAUAUGCGAUAGAAUUCUUGCAUUAAAGACUGUGAUACUGCUGACACAAGGUUAUCUAGCCUCUACCCAAGCAUUUCUAGUAAUAAGGGACUUUCUACCUCACAGGACUGCACACUCCAUUGUGGUAUAAUCCUAAUUGUUAAAAAGUUUUUCCUUAUCUUAGCUUUAUGCUAAUAAAUUCAACAACUUAGAUGAAAUGGAGACAUUUCUUGAAAGACACAAACUACCAAAGCUUACUCAAGAAAAAAUAUGUAACCUGAAUAGCCCUAUAUAUAUUUUUAAAAAUUGAAUUUAUAUUUAAAAUUUUCCCACCAAGAGAAUUUCAGGCCCAGUUGACUUCAUUUGGGACUUCUACCAAACAUUUAAGAAAGAAAUAAUACCAUUUGUACAUAAACUCUUCCAGAAAAUUGAAGAGUGAAUCCUUUUAAACUUACCCUAUGAGGCCAGAAUUACUCUGAUACCAAAGCCAAAUAAAGACACUUCAACAAAAGAAAAUUAUACACCCAUAUCUCUCAUGAACAUGGAGGCAAAAGUCUUAAACAUUUUAAGAAAUUUAAUGCAACGAUCUAUCAAAAGGACAAUGCAUCAUGACCAAAUGAGGUUUAUCCCAAGAAUGCAAUGUUGAGUUAGCAUUUUGAAAUCAAUCAGUGUAAUUUAUAUUAACAGAUGAGAAAAAAAGCCAUAUGAUCAUCUUAGUUAAUGCAGAAAAAGCAUGUGAAAAAAGCCAACAUCCAUUCCUGAUAAAAACACUCAACAACUAGGAAGAGAAGGAAACUUACUCAACCUGAUAAAGGCCAUCUAUUACAAACCCCCACAGCUAACACUUAGUGUUGAAAGACUAAAUGCUUUCCCACUAUGUUCAGGCAGGAGGCAAAGAUAUCUUGGGUCAUGACUUCUAUUCAACACUGUAUUGAACGUUCUAGCCACUGAAAUAAGGCAAGAAAAAAGAAACGAAAUGGAAUAUCAGUUUUGAAAAGUAGAGGUAAAAUCUUCUUUAUACAAAGAUGACAUUAUUGUCUUUGUAGAAAACCUGAAGAAAUCUACAAUGAGUUGAGCAAGGUUGCAGGAUACAAGGUAAAUAUACUAAAAUCUAUUAUAUUUUUAUAAUAACAAUGAACAAUUAGAAAUUGAAAUAAAAAGCAAUAUCUUUACAAUAGUAUCAAAAUAUAUAAAAUACUUGGGAGUAAAUCUGAAAAAAGAUGUAUAAGACCGCUACAAUAAAAACUGCAAACACUGCUGAGAGAAAUUAAGAAGACCUAAACAUAUGAAGAGAAAUACCAUCUUCAUGAAUUGGAAUACUCAAUAUUGUUAAGAUAUCAAUUCUCCCCAAAUUGAUCUAUAAAUUCAACACAAUCCCAAUUAAAAUCCCAAGAGGCUUUUUUCUUUUUUUGUGGAAAUUUACAGGCUCAUUGUAAAGUUCAUUUGGAAAUUCAAAGGAUCUAGAAGAGCCGAAACAACAGGGAAAAAGAAAAACAAAGCUGGAGAACUUCCAUUACCUGAAUUCUAUACAAAUUGUAAAUCUACAGUAAUCAAGACAGUGACAUAAUAUGUCAUGAUAGAAAAAUACAUCAAUGAGAACAGAAUAGAGUCCAGAAAUAAACCCAUACAUAUGUGGUUUUUGACAAAAUUCAAAGGCAAUUCAGUAGAGAAAGGAUAUUGUUUUCAACAAAUGUUACUGGAACAAUUAAAUAUCCAUUAAAAAAAACCCUUCAAUUCGUACCUUUCACCAGGAUCAUCGUUCUCAAUGUAAAAUUUAAAACUGUAAAAAUUCCAGAAGAAAAUUUCUAGGAGAAAAUUUUUGUGCCCUUGGGUUAGGAAAAAGUUCUUAGAUACAUUGCCAAAAGCACAGUCCACAAAAGGAGAAACUGAUAAAUUGGACUUCAUUUGAAAGUAAGGUCUUCUGCUCUUCAAAAGAUGCUGUUAAGAGAAUAAAAAGACAACCCAUAGACUGGGAGUAAAUAUUUUCAAAUCACAUAAAUUGCAUUUAUCCAGUGUGUAUAGAGAACUCUCAAAAUGCAGUAACAGGAAAACAAACAACUCCACAAAAAAUGGGCUAAAGAUUAGAACACAUAUAUAUGUAUGUGGAUAUACAUAAACAUACAUUCCAAAUAAGUAUAUGAAAAAAAAUGCUCAACAUUAUUAGUAUUAAGGAAACGCAAAUUAAAACCACAAAGAGAUGCCACUCUGUAUUCAUAAGAAUGUCUGAAAUUAAAAAGGUUGAACAUACCAAGCAUUGGGAAGUAGGUGGAGCAUAUGGAACUCUCAAACGCUGAUUUUGGGAAUAUAAAAUGCCACUUUGGAAAACAGUUCGGAAUUUUCUUAUAAAGCUAAACAUACCCCUUCUAUGUGACCCAGUCGUUCCACUCCUAGGUAUGUAUCCAAGUGAAAUGAAAGCUUAUGACCAUAUAAAAGCUCAUAUAUGAGUGUUCAUAGAAGACUUGUUUGUAUGCCCCCUAAGCUGGAAAUAACCCAAACACCUCUCUGAGUUGUUUUUACUCACAACACCUGUGACACCAAAUGUAUGUUUUUUUUCCACACCAAUAAGCAGUUUUCCAACUCUCCGGACACCAACCAGGUGACUUACAAUUUGAUUCAAUUCUGACACUAACUACCUGGAGUUAGCACAGACCUCAUAGGUUAAGGGCUCGGACACAGACGACUGCACCAAAUUCAGACACCAAUUGCAAGUUCCUGCCUCCCAUAUUUCUGACUGAGAAAAAUCUGGGAGGUAGCACAUGUGUUCAUUAUCUUGAUUGUGGUGAUGGUUUCAUGAGUGUGUAUACAUAUAUAUCUCAAUAGUUAACAAAUUGUGCGUUUUAAAUGUGCCAUUUAUCAUAUGUCAAUUAUAUCUCAAUUAAGCUGUUCUUUCUUUAAAAAAAAAAGUGAGCACUAAAUUUCACAUAGCAGAAUGGUCAUUACAUCCUAAGGGGAUGCGUUAGUCAACUGGAGCGAAGACGAUAAGAUAAAGUCCCACGCACCACCAUCACCACCAACUGGGCAGACCUGGGCUCCCAUCGUUUUCUACUGAACUUAUCCCCAGAAAGCUUAAAGUUUGGGUCUUUCGACACAUUCUGUUCAGAAGAUACUCAUAGAAUGACCCUGGAAACGCCAAUCACCCUAUUUCUAUCUAUCACUCCUGAAACUGUGCUUUCACUUUAAAAAAAACCCUGCUAUAUCCUGGGAGGCACAGCAGGAGAGGGGCAAUGGUACCCAGGAGGGAAGGCUAAUAAGAUACAGCAUGAGCUUUGGAGCGAGAUGACGCCCUAUACUAGCAACAUAACCUUGGGCAAAUCACUUUACCUCUCUGAGCCGCAAUUUUCUCAUUUUAAAUAAAAUUUAACAAUUCUUACCUGACAGGGUUGUCUUGAAGGUCUAUAUAAAAGAAUGAAACAAUAUCUGGUUGAAGGAGGAGCUCAACAAGAAAUGUCUCUCUCCUUUUCUGCUGUUGUUUGAAGCCCCUCCUCCAGCCAGUGAUUCUGCACAUUCCCUUCGUCAUCAUGCUUUCUCGGGACUCCAGGAUCCAAACCAGUGAAACCCUGGGCCGGGGAAGUGGAGUGCGCGAACCUAACCACUCGGCCACAGGGCCGGACCCCCAGUGCACUUUUAAAGGUAACCAGGUAAGUCGGAUGCUCUUCUCUUACUGAGAACCAUGGAUCUAGUCUGACGUUUCACACGGAAGGACACUGUAUCCCCAAG
This is a long non-coding RNA of Equus caballus (horse), 5584 nucleotides long. The record is from Ensembl. Lineage: Eukaryota; Metazoa; Chordata; Mammalia; Perissodactyla; Equidae.